CCUGCAGUGACAGGGACAAAAGGCCAGGGCCAGUCAGCUGGAUCACCCAGUAGCCAGAGCACAACAAGCAUCAGGUGCUUCAUCGACCUGUCCCUGACAAAGGACCUGCCCACCAGUGGGGUACAGCUAAGCCAUAUGCAGCCACGAGAAUGUCCUACACUGGACAUUCCAACCCCUUGACAUUUUCAGGCGUCCAUUUUUUUCUCCAACAUCCCCUGUACACAGAGUAAGGCCCAAUCUCCUGGGAUAAAGCUGAUUGGAAAGUAUGUUGGAGGAAGCUGGCUCCUCAUGGACAUCAUAGAGCAGAAGCAUGAAAAGAAAAAAGUGAGCAAGCCAGUAUGCAGCACUCCUCCAUGGCCCCUGCAUCAGUUCCUGCCUCCAGAUUCCUGCUCUGCUGAGUUCCUGCCCGGGUUUCCCACGAAGAUGGCCAAGGAUUGGGAUGGACUGGAUGUGUGCCCAAAUAAACCUUUUCCUCCAAAAGUUAGUUUUGGUCAUGGUCUUAUCAUAGCAAGUGAAAGUUUAAUGCUUUCAAUUAAUUAAUUAAUUAAGUCACCUAAUUCUGAUUCCUUUCUCUUUCUGACCAUCUACAGCACAGAAUCUCCAAGAUGCAGUUAGGCCUCCAUCUUUCAAUAUCAUUACUCCGUAUUUGGCUGAGUAAGGAGGUAAGGCAAAAGUCAGACACAUGUUACACAGACCUGACAAAUGAGUCACCCACUCAGUGACUGCCCCAGAAUGACCUCUGUGCUGACUACUCACUUGAAGGGACUAAAAAGCCAGUGCCGGGACAAAUGCUCCAUGGAGUAGCCCUCAACCCAGUCAGCAUCCAGCUUUUUCACACCCGCAAUGAAAUACACAAUGAAGAUCUGCAAACAAAAAUGCAGCAUGAAUGUUUAUGCAAACAAAGAACCCGUCUUUCUGCAGGAAGGCUGCGAUUAAAGGCACUUGUUGCUCUAGCAGAGGACCGAGGUUUGGUUCCCAGCACCCACAUGAGGCAGCUCAGAACUUCCUGUAACUCCGGUUCCAGGGCACCUUUGUCUGGUCUCUGUAGGCACUGUAUGCACGUGAUAUACAUGUAGACAAGCAGACAUAUGCACACACACACUAAUAAUAAUAUUUUUUAAGAUUAGGUCUCACUAUAUAGUCCUGGCUAGCCUAUUUCCUGAGUACUGAGAUUAAAAGUGUGUGUAACCAUGCCUGGCUAUAUAAAUAAAUAAUUCUUAAAAACAAGGAAGAAUAGCUGGGCAGCAGUAGUGGCAUAAGUCUUUGAUCCUAGCAUUCGAGAGGCAGAGCAGGUGAAUCUUUGAGUCUGAGGCCAGCCUGGUCUACAGCGUGAGUUUCAGGACAUCCAGAGCUACAGAGAGAAAGCCUGUAUCAAAACAACAAACAAACAAACAUCACAAACCAAAGUAAGAAUGUAGGGAGGCAGAGGGCCUCUGACCACUGCUGACCAUAACAGCUCACAGGGAGCCCCUUCUCCAUUUUGAAAUCCUGUACCUUGGCUGGAAGGUGCACAGUGGGUAAAGCAUUCUCCACAAAUGCAUGAGGGCCCAAGGUUAAUUCUCAGGACCCAGGUAAAGUAAAGCAAAGUACUAUGUAUCUGUUCCUACAGCUCCUAAAGUGAGACAGACACAGGGGAGUCCCUAGAAUCUCAUAGGGCAGCCUCAAACCAAAAAUGUAGACUCUGUGCAUUUUGUAGACAAAAACGUAAAUCAAGGUGGAAGGUACACACGUAUGUGUACACACACACACACACACACACACACACACACACACACACACACUUCCAUACCUGGCCACGCAGGACUGUGUAGUUCCAAAGGGGCACGUGAGCAUUCUUCUUUUGGGCACUCAGCAGGCCAUCCACAGACCUAUAAAAAGGAGGUAAAAACAUCAAGAAAGGCCUCUUAGUCCAGCCACAUUCCUGCCCUACAGUUAGGGCAGUCCUGUCUACCUUGGAAAUAGCUCUCGUGCUCUCCCUGAUUCUCUAAGCUAUUCUGAGGCCCUCUUGAAACACAUGAGUAAAUUUUCCCAAGACGUUAUAUCGAGAAGGGAGUCUCUCAUAUCACAGAUUGCCCUCAAACUCACCAGGUAGCUGAAACUAGCCUUGAACUCCCGAUCUCCCUGCCUCGACUUCCCAAGAGCUAGACUUACAGGGGUGUGCACUGGAAUGAGUGCACGGCAACAGUGAUCACUAUUAAGGCCAUGAGAGAACUCUACUACAGAUGCUCUGUACCUUAUAAGGUAUUAUCCCAAUAAACCCAUUACAAGCUGAAAAUAGCCUUAAUUUAAAAUGUAUUUGAUAUACAUAACCUACUAAAUAUCACACAUGGCCUAUACACUAUGUUAAAUGCGCUCAGAGAAAAUUACAAUAGCCCACAGUUGGGCAAAAUCAUCCAGGACAAGGCCUACUUUCUAAUAAAGGGUUGACUAUUUUAGUGAAUACUAUGCCAACUAAGUAAGUAGAUAUGCUCUUGCCACUCUAGCUCUCAUCACUCUAGCUCUCACCACCUCUAGCUCUCACCACCAACCCUGAAGUUGAACCAUUAAGUCAGAGACUGUCUAUCGUAAGUCAUAAGAAUAAAAACUUCAGAGUUUGGAGCCAGUAUUAUCUAGAUGCAAUGAGAGCCUGACCCAAAACAAUGCACACAUACAGCGUUUUCUACUAGCUCACUCUUCAGUGGGUCCCAGUGAAUCAGAUCAAGUUCAGAGUUACACUAGAAGUGACACGAAGGAACAAAUUUCAGAGAGUUUGAAAAACCUACAGGGGUGGGCGGGAGAAAUGCCUCAGGUAGGCAAUCAGGUCAAUUCCUGAAGCCCACAAAAAGGUGGGUUAUCUUCUGACCUCUACGCAGGGACCACGGCAUGUACACCCUUGUUCCCCUGUAUCAUGUGCUCCCAACCCAACGCAGUAAUAACACAUUCAAUUAAAGAAGAAUGCACUGGGCGUGGUACACACACUCAGGAGGCAGAGCAAUCAGAUCCCCAUGAUAAUAAACUCAUGGCCAGCCUGGGCUACACAGCAAGUUCUAGGACUACAUAGUAAGACUGUGUCUUAAAAAAAAAGAUAUCAACAAUAAAAUCACAGACCAGGGGACUGGAGAGAUAGAUGCUGCUCUUUUACAGGACCUAGGUUCAAGUCCCAGCACUCACGAGGCAGCUCACAACUGCCUGUUAACUCCAGUUCCAGGAAACCCAGUGCCAUAUUCUGACCCCCACAGGCACCAGGCACACACAUACACACAGGUGAGCUAAAUAUACAUACACAUGAAAUAAAAUUAAAACACACACAUGAAGAUUCAUACACAUAUGCAUAUAUACAUGCAAAUAUACAUACACAGUGCAAUAUCUUUUUUAUUUUGAAUUGGCAUUUUAAGACAAGGUCUUACUUUAUCGUCUAGACUGGUCUGGAAGUUACCAUGUAACCCAAGCUACAUUCCUUAUGUCUCUGCCUGCGAGUAAAGGUGUGCACUAUCACAUUCAGCUAUACAGUAUAAGACAAUAAAAACAAAACAAAGAGGGUGGGGAUGGGGAAGCCGCCAGAGACUCUGAGCACUUGCCUAGCAUGUGUAGGGCCCCGAGUUUGAUCCCCACCUUCACAGGGGUAAAAAAUGAAAAAUAAACUUAAAUACUCCUCAGCAAAACAGUGCAGAGCACAAACUAACAUUUAUAAAAUUGGACGCCAGGAUCCAGUGCUAGAGGACUCUUGACUUUAAAUUUUAUCCUGAGAGAGAAUGGAGAAGACAGGCUACUAACACCAGAUUUCCUGAGGCAGAAACCAGGCAGGUUGUGAAAAAGUUAGGGAGAGUGUAGCUGCCACCGUGGUCAAAAGCAAGGACAACCAAGCCCCAUUUGUCUGCUCCCUGCUGUGUGAACAUAGCCAUAUUCUUUAUUUCCCCAGGACUCACUUCUUCAGCUCCAGGGAGCUCACAUAUAUUCGUUUUGAAUCGAGGUCUCAUUUUAUGUGAGACCCAGGCUGGCCACCUUGUGCAGGGAAUAAGCACCUAAACCUGACUCUUUACAGGGUUUUGAUGAGGAAAAAAGUGUAAAUACGCCUGCUAUAUACAAAGCCCUGAGUUUAAGGUAACUUUUCAAAAUGUCUGAAAGUCACAGAAAUGGAACUGGGAGGUGAGAGAUGCCUGACAAAGCAACCUCUUAAUUCUCUACGGUCAAAGUGAGAGAGCCUGAAUUGGUUUCAAGUUUGACGAAGGCAAGGACUGGGGACGGGGCAUGUAGCCUGGUAGUGGUGGACGUGCUCAGCACGCAGGAAGUCAGGAGCAAUCCCCAGCCCAGGUGCACACAUUCGGAGCUUUAUGGGAGAGACUUAUGUGCCUCAGUGGUGAACCACCUCCAUCUAGCUCACUGUGGCCCCAACACCCCAACUCACUCGACAGUGGGAACAAUGUCCUUAAGGUCUCGGGCCCCACCACCCUUGCUCCAAGUCUUGUCCCCACCUCCCCUGACAGAUGGUCACCUAGGCCAGAGAUGGAGUGGGUUACUUUCUCCUAGGACAGCACUGCAGAGCAACCCUGCUGGCCCCUGUCCUUUUGGUUUCUGCUAUCAUUUCCACCUCACAGCAACUUCUGUGUUUGGCUAUAAUUCUGCCUCUCUGGGCUCACACACAGAAAGUAAAGUCUGCACCCCUGGAGUAUCUGAAAACAGCUAUGUUUGGCUUUAGUCUUCUCAGGAGUGGAUCUAUCAGGGUACCUGGAGAGAUAGGAAAACAGUGAAGGUGUGGGAUGGACACUUUCCUAUGUCCCUGCAAUCUGCCAACUUGCUGGUCCGUCCCCUUCCCAAAUCCAUCCAAGGCAGGCAGCUGAGCAGGGAAGGGCGCUUACCAUCAAGCCUACUGGCGUGAACUGGACACCCCCCCCCAGAACCUAUAGGGAAGGAGAGAACAGGCUCCCCCAAAUCCAUCCAACCAUACUUUGCAAAACUUGGUUAAAAAUAUGUCUAUUGAGCCAGCAUGAUGGCUCACACCUGUAAUUCCAGCACUCGGGAGGCUAGUACAGAACGGCAAGUUCAAGGCCAGCCUAGACUACACAGUGAGUUCUAGACCAGCCUGAGAUACAGGAAUACAAAGCCCACCUCCUCCUUCCCCAAAAACCAAAACACCAAUAAAAAUUGUGCCCAUGGGACAAUUUCUAGGCCUUCCCUGGGCCCCAAUCUCUCUGUAAGCACCCUGACCAGACACACCUUCCCUCUCUUUCCCGAGGCUCUACGUACCAGUAGUGGUUUGCAUCCAUGAAUGUCAACUGAAAGGCCAACAAACCAUACAGAUAGGAGUGAUUGUUCCACGAUGUCUUGUCCAGGAGAAACACGUACCAGUAUGGUAGCAGGAAUAACACACAGCUUAGCCGGUACCACAGGCCCAGCAUCAUGCCCAGUGCCCCUGGGGAUUUGUGAGGACAGGGUUCAGGUCAAAGUGUCACCAUAGGCCCAGCUUCCCUGGGACUGAAAUUAAGAAAAGUCAGCAGGCCUUUUACAAUCAGGCAGAGAACUAAAUGGGAGAAGAGCUGUGGGGUUCGUAUGAUCCACGGGUGAGCAGCAGGAAACUGAAUCGCAGCAGACAUGAUACAGGCAUGCAACGGCUUGGCUCACUAGCAUGCUUCCCUGGCUCAGACUCCCAGCACCCAGCUCCCCUCACCCAGAAACAUGAUGGUGUAGACGAGAUACAUCCAGUCAAGUGGCAGUGGGCGCAAGGCAUCCAGCAAGGGGAAGCGGCACACAUCCAGCCCAUCCAAGUAUUUUCGGUCCAGGGAGCUAAGGCCCCGUUCCUGGGGGAUGUCCAGCAGCAUCAAGAAUGC
Rattus norvegicus (Norway rat) is the source of this 5804-nucleotide non-coding RNA. The record is from RefSeq and is a predicted model, not a curated record. Lineage: Eukaryota; Metazoa; Chordata; Mammalia; Rodentia; Muridae.